Clupea harengus (Atlantic herring) is the source of this 3744-nucleotide long non-coding RNA. RefSeq lists it as uncharacterized. NCBI's taxonomy places the organism in Eukaryota, Metazoa, Chordata, Actinopteri, Clupeiformes, Clupeidae. The record is from RefSeq and is a predicted model, not a curated record. The transcript is spliced from 2 exons.
CAGGAUAGAUCAAGCUGUAAGUAAAUCAGUUGGUGUUCCUGUGGCGCUCAAGUGCGGCACUCUGAGACAUGGGCUGGUCCCUCAUUUCUGAGCAAGGCGUCACCGCAAAAGUUGUAUCCAUACAAGCACCUCAUGAUACUGUGUUUCUUCCAAAAUUCUGGAAAUGCAUUCUUUGACAACAGGAAUUGCCUGGAUUAUUGACAUUUUCUUGGGCACAGCUGGGCCCAAAAUCGUUGUGAACUUGUGACAGUUAAAACAGUGGUAAUGGUAGUGGUGCUCACUGUGUUUGUAAGAAUACCGGCUGCAAUGCUGCAGUAUUAACUAUUAUGAUUUUUAAUUAAGUGAACUCGUGAGUAGCCUUCCUCUGACCAACAGCUCUAAAAUCCCAUGUUAGAAUGAAUGAAACAACAGUUCAGAAUGUUCAAACGGUAGGAAUAAGUAAGAAAUAUUUGUUCUUAUCCUAAUGCGGUACGAGAGGGACUUAUUUGUGGUGAAAAAGAUGAAGAAUAGAACUGCGGGCGUGGACGGGGCUCAACGCAUUCCUGGUUGUUUGGUGGAAAAUUUACAGCUAAGUAAUAAAAGUUUACGACUGAGGUACUAUUUGGAUUGGCUGCAGCAGGUCACAUGAUGCGCCCUCGGUGAACGUGAACUUUGUACUGUUGUCUUUCCUGCUGUCAUAUGCUCACCCAUUCGCGCAAGGCAGACCGAGAGCACAAACUCCGUUUUUGUCUUUUAUUCAGGACUUACCCUGUCGCUUGGGCAGAAUGCUGUUACUUUCAUUUGACUUACAUUACCCACCCCUUUCCCAUUCUCCUUCCUCUGUUUCCUCCUCCUCCUUUCGCUCCUGUUCGCCAUCUCUCGCUCUCCCUUUCUGACACUCCUACUAUGAGGUAGAGCAAUAGGUAGGGUAGAUUGCUUUGUUCCUUGUUGCGGACGCGUGAUAUCGAAUACCGAAGACGUCCAGCCUUGCCUCUGAAAAGCCGAAUGGAAUUCCUACAGGGUCUUGGAUAUUUACUGAUACCGCAGUUGGCACAACGCGGUCUCUCCCUCUCGUGCCGCUAGCCCCUGGACCAGUCAGCGUGCGUCACAGCAAAGGGCGCGGAGAACGUGGGUAAAUGGUCUUCAUCGGGAGCAGUCACACUUGCCAACACGGACAUGGGAAGACCCAGUUACCAUUCAGAGCACCGCCCCCGGAUGACACCGUCCUUGAGCGGGCAGGACAUUGACAACCAAAGGAACAGGGAGGGAGAGAGAGAGAAAGGGAGACAGAGAGAGAGAGAGAGAGAGAGAGAGAGAGAUCAAAGCAUCUUGUUCCAAUGUCUUCCCUCUAGACGAAUAUACUGUCCCAAACCACAUCAUGAAACAAUGCAACUAAUGUCGUUGAAGUUGUAUUAAUGAUUGAUUGAUUGAUUGAUUGAUUGUUCAGGGUUGUCUAUCAGCACUUAAACAGGCCAUCAGCACCAAACAGGCCACAGGCACCUUGGGAAGAGAAUCACAAUACAUGCAAUUAAUAAGGACUUAAUAAUAAGUGACAUGAAAUUCUAAAUAUUCCUAGUGGCAGCAGUCAGUAUGGUCCGAACAUGUUGGGAUUCCUAUGUGUCCUUGUGCUUCAUGGCACCUACUAUGCACCUUUAAAAGACAUGUGUAGAAAGCUUCACAGUACUCUUCCAAAGAAUACUAUGCACUUUUAUAAGACAUGUCUAGAAAGGUUCACAGUACUUCCAAAGCAUACUAUGCACUUUUAUAAGACAUGUCUAGAAAGGUUCACAGUACUCUUCCAAAGAAUACUAUGCACUUUUAUAAGACAUGUCUAGAAAGGUUCACAGUACUUCCAAAGCAUACUAUGCACUUUUAUAAGACAUGUCUAGAAAGGUUCACAGUACUCUUCCAAAGAAUACUAUGCACUUUUAUAAAACAUGUCUAGAAAGAUUUACAGUACUCUUCCAAAGAAUACUGUGCACUUUUAUAAGACAUGUCUAGAAAGGUUCACAGUACUCUUCCAAAGAAUACUAUGCACUUUUAUUAAACAUGUCUAGAAAGGUUCACAGUACUCUUCCAAAGAAUACUGUGCACUUGUAUAAGACAUGAAAGGUUCACAGUACUCUUCCAAAGAAGACUAUGCACUUUUAUAAGACCUGUCUUGAAAGGUUCACAGUACUCUUCCAAUGAAUACUAUGCACUUUUAUAAGACAUGUCUAGAAAGGUUCACAGUACUUCCAAAGCAUACUAUGCACUUUUAUAAGACAUGUCUAGAAAGGUUCACAGUACUCUUCCAAAGAAUACUAUGCACUUUUAUAAGACAUGGACUAAGGUGGACAAAGGUUCACAGUACUUCCAAAGCAUACUAUGCACUUUUAUAAGACCUGUCUAGAAAGGUUCACAGUACUCUUCCAAUGAAUACUAUGCACUUUUAUAAGACCUGUCUAGAAAGGCUCACAGUACUCUUCUAAAGAAUACUGUGGAGCUAAUAAUUCAAGAAAAUCUCACAUGAUUCUGAGCAACUCAUUAUUGAGAUUGUAGCCUAAUGCUAUUAAUAUUAUUUACACUGUCAAACCAGCUGCAGAGGUAACACUUACAGUUUAACAACACAGUUGAGGAGUCACAACUCAGCUCACAACACAACUCAGAACACACUUGAGUUGUAAAUGCAUAUGGGAAAAUAGCGGGCAGUUAAGAAUAGUGAGUUGUUAUAUUGUCAUGACAUGUUUCAUACAUACUUUUAGCAACAACAACGCUUCAAGAAAGCAAGCCCUGGAAGGGUGCUGCCUCAAGGCAGCAGCAGACAUGUGCACCCUCAACAUAGGGAUGCCUGUUUGCCACAUGUUGUAAACUUCCUCUGGCAAAAUGCUGAGCAGUUAUGUAGCUUCGUGUAGUCAAUAUGGGCCCCCCCUGUAAAACUUCAUUGGCUUGUACUACACGACGUCUCAUUACAGCAAGUUCAGAGGGCCCCUUGUGAACGGCAGUGAACGACAAAAGUAAGUGUUGCAUCACAUUAUGAGGGUAUGAGAGGUCUCACGAUGUCACCAAUUCAGCACCAUAGCAACGAGGUUGUUUAGUGGAGUGUUCACUCUGAUGUUUCACGGGUCUUAUUUAGAACCUAUUUCUGUUUUCUUUAGAGUACAUCCUUCAAGGAUUUUUGAAACGUCAAAACAGCCGAACAAUUUGCAGGUUGAAUAUUGUAAGCUAGGGGACCAAUUCAGGAACAAUGAACAUGCCAGGAAAAUUAGACUUUUCUUUCUCGACCAAAUCUUUGCAAGCCAAAUGUAAACCUGAUCCUUAUAGUCAUACUCAGCCUCUGGCAGACAAUGUACCGGACAGACCUCAUUUUUCCUACACUAGAUUUUUCCACCUCAGAACAACCUGCUAAAAGUUUUUGUAAGAAGCCAAGUCACAUUUAACAACCACAACCAGUGAAAUCUCACUCCUCGUGAGCGGCUGGCGCUGUCAUACCUAGCGAGUGAGAAUGACAGGGAGGUGACUGAUCACAGGACUGACACACGACUCUGCACAGGGUCGAUGGGGCACGGCUCUGUCUCGCCUGCAUGCACAGGGAAAAUGGCGUCUUCGUGACACUUAUUUAAACUGGAAAAGAGUUGCCGACAAUAAAACUUUUUUUUGCAGCAUAUUAAUUUUUUUAAUCGCACUUGAUAUGGCACUGUAUUCACUGAGGAAGGAUAUACCUGUUGUUAUCUGUUGUUGUUUUGCUGAAUAAUUUAUUGAAUAAAGUCUACGUGAUAAACAUGA